UCUAGAACUCGAUAUAUGGGUUGAACACUGAACAGUGUCUGGGUUGCAUGAUAUAUUCUGAAUUCUCUUUUGUUGCUACAAUUUGAACUUGAAAAAGACCAUUUUGAAUCUUGGACUCUUCAUGAAAGUUUAGGCCUAUGUCUUAGCUUUCCAUC
Molecule: non-coding RNA, 155 nt
Organism: Populus trichocarpa (black cottonwood)
Lineage: Eukaryota; Viridiplantae; Streptophyta; Magnoliopsida; Malpighiales; Salicaceae
Source: Rfam